GUACCUAAAGAAAAGGAUCUACUUUUAUUCCUUGAUCACAUAAUAUCAUAUAGAACAUUAUUUACAGUAAAACCUCUUUCUUGCGCUUCCUUCAUUCGCGCAUUAAAAAAAUGCGACCCAAUUCCUAUAUUAAGAUAUCUUUAGUAGAUAAAGAUUUCUUUAGUCGCGGAUAUAAGACGUCCGGUGCAUUCGUAGCGAUGCAACGGUGUUCGAAUCCCGCAGUUUCAGACGUAUGUUAGUACAUAUGUAACGGAAUCUUUGAACAUGAUUUUGACCCCUUCAAAACGUCGGAUUAACUCGAAAUUUGGCAAAAUUAUAAAGGACCGAUGACAAAAAAAAUUUAAAAAAUUUAAAUUUCACUUAAAAUGUAACGCAAAUGAAAUUUCAAACAAAAAUGAAACAGAAAAAAUGAAAAAUGAAACGAAAUGAACACGCUUUUUUUACAAUAAAAUCAUUUUUCUUACAAUAUUUUUAAUUCAAAUUUAUUAAAAUUUAUUUUCUAUUUUUA
Molecule: long non-coding RNA, 508 nt
Organism: Bombyx mori (domestic silkworm)
Lineage: Eukaryota; Metazoa; Arthropoda; Insecta; Lepidoptera; Bombycidae
Exons: 2
Source: RefSeq, a predicted model, not a curated record